Molecule: ribosomal RNA, 454 nt
Filed under: uncultured bacterium
Lineage: Bacteria
Description: bacterial SSU rRNA
Rfam family: Bacterial small subunit ribosomal RNA
Source: RNAcentral
UACGGGAGGCAGCAGUGGGGAAUAUUGCACAAUGGGUGCAAGCCUGAUGCAGCCAUGCCGCGUGUAUGAAGAAGGCCUUCGGGUUGUAAAGUACUUUCAGUCGUGAGGAAGGUGUUAAGGUUAAUAACCUUAGCAAUUGACGUUAGCGACAGAAGAAGCACCGGCUAACUCCGUGCCAGCAGCCGCGGUAAUACGGAGGGUGCGAGCGUUAAUCGGAAUUACUGGGCGUAAAGGGCACGCAGGCGGUUAAUUAAGUUGGAUGUGAAAUCCCCGGGCUUAACCUGGGAAUGGCAUUCAAGACUGGUUAGCUAGAGUCUUGUAGAGGGGGUAGAAUUCCAUGUGUAGCGGUGAAAUGCGUAGAGAUGUGGAGGAAUACCGGUGGCGAAGGCGGCCCCUGGACAAAGACUGACGCUCAUGUGCGAAAGCGUGGGGAGCGAAACAGGGAUUAGAUACC